This 750-nucleotide ribosomal RNA is filed under the name Triticum aestivum (bread wheat). Its description in RNAcentral is "partial small subunit ribosomal RNA". Lineage: Eukaryota; Viridiplantae; Streptophyta; Magnoliopsida; Poales; Poaceae. The record is from RNAcentral.
AUGUUUGGCCUCAUCAACUUGCGACAUAUGGCCGGAAUGCCGUUUCUGAAAAUACCAAGAGUUGGCAGGAUGACAUUGCUUCGAACGCUGCAAAAAAUCAAAGUGGGAAAGGAACAAGGGUGCGAGUUGAAGCAACUCGGCGGCCUCAACCAGCUCCGUGGCAAACUGAGUAUCGCGGGCCUCGAAAACGUCGAGACCCAGCAGGAAGCUCUUGAAGCCAAGCUGGGCGACAAAGAAGGGCUCACAACAUUGCAACUGUCGUGGGGUCAUGAUCAUGAUGUGAGAGGAGAGUUGAAGAAACAGGAGGCUCACACAGAGGUGCUGGAGGGUCUCUGCCCGCCCAAGCAUCUCGAAUCACUGACCAUCUACUCUUACCAUGGCUUGAGAUACCCAAGUUGGAUGAUGGGUGAGCACGGCGGCGGCCCAAAGUAUGUGAAGGAACUCAGCCUCUUCCAUUGCAGCACAGAGCUUGGUGGGUUCUGGCCUCACCUCCGUUCGUUCUACAUGUACCGUUGCAGCUCGUCCACCAUGCCGGAUCACAUGGAGCACCUGACGUCGCUCAGGCGCCUGGACCUCGACUGGUGCCCGAACAUCCGGUCGCUUCCGACGCUGCCGCGGUCUCUUGACUACUUGAGUCUCACCUUCUGCCAUGAGAUGCUGAUGAGUGCGUGCAGAAGAGCUGGAGACCCCAACUGGGAAAAGUUUCAGCACGUUCCUUAUGUAUGUGUCAGCGACUUGGAGACGACAUAG